CGGGCUAUGGCGCAGCUUGGUUAGCGCGCUUGACUGGGGGUCAAGAGGUCGUGGGUUCAAAUCCCGCUAGCCCGACCA
RNAcentral lists this transfer RNA (78 nucleotides) under Actinomycetes bacterium. RNAcentral's name for it is "tRNA-Pro". It matches the Rfam family "tRNA". Rfam says of the family: Transfer RNA (tRNA) molecules are approximately 80 nucleotides in length. Their secondary structure includes four short double-helical elements and three loops (D, anti-codon, and T loops). RNAcentral also lists the same sequence under 3 other names. Lineage: Bacteria; Bacillati; Actinomycetota; Actinomycetes. The record is from RNAcentral.